RNAcentral lists this long non-coding RNA (879 nucleotides) under Homo sapiens (human). Its description in RNAcentral is "HSALNT0304767". The record is from RNAcentral. Lineage: Eukaryota; Metazoa; Chordata; Mammalia; Primates; Hominidae.
CCAGAGUCCAUUUCCUUUGCUGAGAAUAACGACUCACUCUCUGCUGGACACCUGCAAGGAAUUACUCCAGUGCCUCCCUCGCUAACCUGUUGUUCAUCACUCCCUCAGUUGGCAGGAAUUAAAUCACUGCUGCUCAGAAAUUGCCAGGACAUCUGCUUACCAUCACUGUCCCCAGGGAACCAGGCUCUCUGACAUUGCAGCCACCACUCUCCUUAGCCAGGGCCCUUGAAUGCUUUUGGAGACAUUUAGAAAAGGAGUUGGCACAGAAGCAUAAUGCUGGAUGAAAACUGCCAUUCAGAAGACUUCGCCAUUCAAGACUGCUGAGCCUAAGGGUUUCAAACACGUCUCCCCACCCGCCAGUCAUUGCUUGUCCUGAUUCAAAGAGACUUGAAUCCAUCCAAGGAGCUGGAUAGAGAGCAGCUUGUCGUUGGUCAGACGUGGUCUUUUUUGCAGUCCAGGCACUGGGACAGAAGCCAGCAAGCAAACUGAUCUCAAAGGAGUUUGGAAUCAAGAAUAUGAGAUACUGAGAGAAGAUGGUUGCUUGACCUGAGGUCUCCUAGAAUUGGAUAAAUCAAAGCCACCUUUACACCAGAGCUACGGUGGAACAGAGAAGCCACCACUUUGCCAGGAGAGAUGCAGAAGAAUGAAGCAGAUGUGGGCAGAGAAGAGAGGUCAUUCAAGACACAAGACUUGCCACCGUCUCCCAGGGUGAACAUCCUCAUACCAUCUCCCGGGGUGAACAUCUCCACAUCUGGAGUCGAAGAUCUCCUAAGAUCACCUCUGGCCAACUCUUUCUCCUGAGCUCCAGGCCUACCAGUAGAUAUCCAACUGCCCAUUGGCGGCUCCUCUUGGGUGUCACUAGCCCUGCAAAUUCAAUGA